RNAcentral lists this ribosomal RNA (1004 nucleotides) under human gut metagenome. Its description in RNAcentral is "bacterial LSU rRNA". It matches the Rfam family "Bacterial large subunit ribosomal RNA", at positions 1926 to 2925 of the family's 2925-position model. The record is from RNAcentral.
AACGGCGGCCGUAACUAUAACGGUCCUAAGGUAGCGAAAUUCCUUGUCAGGUAAGUUCUGACCCGCACGAAAGGCGUAAUGAUUUGGGCACUGUCUCAACAGCCCGCCCGGCGAAAUUGUAGUACCGGUGAAGAUGCCGGUUACCCGCGACAAGACGGAAAGACCCCAUGGAGCUUUACUGUAGCCUAAUAUUGGGUUUCGAUGUUGCAUGCACAGGAUAGAUGGGACACUGGGAAACAAUCGCUUUGGCGGUUGCGGAGUGGCCGUUGGGAUACCAUCCUUGCGAUAUUGGAAUUCUAACCUGCGCCUUUGAAUCAAGGCGGGGGACAUUGUUAGGUGGGCAGUUUGACUGGGGCGGUCGCCUCCUAAAGAGUAACGGAGGCGUUCAAAGGUUCGCUCAGCUUGAACGGAAAUCAAGCAAAAGAGUGCAAACGCAGAAGCGAGCCUAACUGCGAGACUGACGGGUCGAGCAGUAACGAAAGUUGGAGUUAGUGAUCCGGUGGUAUGUGAGUGGAAAUGCCAUCGCUCAACGGAUAAAAGCUACCCUGGGGAUAACAGGCUGAUCUCCCCCAAGAGUCCACAUCGACGGGGAGGUUUGGCACCUCGAUGUCGGCUCAUCGCAUCCUGGGGCUGUAUUCGGUCCCAAGGGUUUGGCUGUUCGCCAAUUAAAGCGGUACGCGAGCUGGGUUCAGAACGUCGUGAGACAGUUCGGUCCCUAUCUGUCGUGGGCGCAGGAUAUUUGAUGGGAGCUGUUCCUAGUACGAGAGGACCGGAGCGGACGUACCUCUGGCGCACCAGUUGUUCUGCCAAGAGCAUAGCUGGGCAACUAUGUACGGAUCGGAUAAACGCUGAAAGCAUCUAAGCGUGAAGCCGACCCAAAGAUAAGAUAUCCCAUUGUUUCAAACAAGUAAGACCCCUUGAAGACUACAAGGUUGAUAGGCACGAUGUGUAAGUGGAGUGAUCCAUUCAGCAAGCGUGUACUAAUAGAUCGAGGGCUUGACCAC